Long non-coding RNA from Dunckerocampus dactyliophorus (ringed pipefish), 6445 nucleotides. RefSeq lists it as uncharacterized. NCBI's taxonomy places the organism in Eukaryota, Metazoa, Chordata, Actinopteri, Syngnathiformes, Syngnathidae. The transcript has 3 exons. The record is from RefSeq and is a predicted model, not a curated record.
CAAAAUGUGCUCCAGGAAUACUCUGACAUCCACAGCAGUGAAGAAGAGGAAGUGAGUGUGAUCCCAGCGAUGUGUGCGCUGCAACGUGGACGGAAUAAAGCAAAGGUGACCACGUUUGACCUCAUAGCAGUCAAGCAGAUGGCAGCUUUCUGGUUGCAAAGACAAGGUCGCCGUGUGAAUUAAUGGCGCCAUAAGGAACAGCCAAUUAGGCGGGCCUUUGUAAAGUAGGCCAAAUGAAGGUUGGAGGUCUCUCAAAGCCCUAAGAAGUGCAAAUGCGGCCCAACGCCGGAGAGGACAUGAAACGCACGCUAUCAGAAAGCACAUUUCCCAUUUGAAAGACAACCAGGAGCUCAAUCAGCUUCCAAAUCAUCCCCCCCCCCUUCCGCCUUCAAUCACGUCAUUAAAAGCAUGUAGGCGGCAUAUUCCCUCUGGAAGUUCAAACGUGAGGACGCAGCCGUGCGAGCUUUGAACCAGCAGCAGCGAAUGCAGAGGUCUUCUCCAAUAUUUGCAUGAAAGAUGCGCUGAUAACCGUCAUCGUCUGGUCCAAGUGUGGAGUGGAUGUGUAAUGCAUGAAUCAGUGCAGACCACCUCUCAGCUCUGCUGUGAUCGACACGUACGGUCCCACAGUGUGCACGAGGAAACACAUGUGCGAAAGGAAUACAAACACAACAGGACGCAGGAACCACCUGUACGUCAGUCCCACUGUCACUGCACUCACUAACAAUGCAGCUGUGGAACAUACGUCAAUGCCGACUGCCAUCUUGUUUUACUUUGGAGCUCAAGAAGUUAACAAUAACACCCCUCAGCAUGAUGCAUUGCAGCGCUACAUCGCUGCUAACUACAACCACGGCAGACUGCAUUUCCUCAAUCAACAACGGUGGGAAAAAAUAUUCUUUCAUUUUCUAUGCCGCUUGUCCUCAUUGGGGUCGCGGGGGUAUGCUGGAACUUAUCCCAGCUGACUUCGGGCGACAGGCGGGGUACACCCUGGACUGGUCGCCAGCCAAUGGCAGGGCACAUGUAGACAAACAACCAUUCACACUCACAUUCAUACCUAUGGACAAUUUAGAGUCUCCGAUGAACUCAUUCAAUCCCAGACAUUGUUCAAAAGAAAACCCCCUCAGUAGCGGCCGUUUUAGACGAUUUUGGCUGAUCUUCCAGGGCACACAGAAUAUUGUGUUCUAUGGCUGUAUGAACAUGAAAGAUUAGACUCCUGUCUUUCAUCGGAAAAAAAAAGUUGGCUUCUACCUUCUUCCGUUCUUUAGUAAUCAUUUAGUAGAACAUCGGUAAGUUUUAGGAAAAUAUCAGUUCCCGAGUAGAAAAGAGAGAAAACAAGCUUUUUGUGAAAAGGAACAUUUCAAGCAUAACUUUUACGUCGACACAAAAUGUUUUGCUUUUGUGACAGCUCAAAUAUGUAAACAGCUAUACCAACAUAAACAACACAAAAAAGGUUUUGUUUUACAUUAAAAUAACAAUUUAUCUACAAAUAUAACACCAUCAACUAUUUACAAAUUUCACAUUUACAAUUGAACUAUGUGCGUGUGCAUGGGUUAAAAGUGACCUACAAUGCGUAACCUUCUGCAUGCUACACUCCUCCAUGCUCUCUCACUUCCUCCUUCCUGUCACGUGUGUUUAUCUAUUAACAUGAUCCCUGCCCAGCUCUUAUCAAAUGCACUUCUGCUUCCUUGUGGCCGCUUUUAUAUGGCUUAAAAGUGCUCUGAAGUGUUCAUACAUUAGUGGAGAGUUGCAUCAUCACCUGUUUUUCCCUCUCGCACACAAAAACGUAAAAGACGUAUGAAUACGUUGCUGGGAUGUGUUCGGAAUUAUAAAAACGUAUAACUACGUCUUUGGUAUUGAGUGAAUUAACUUCACAUGCAUGUUCUUGGAAUGUGGGAGGAUGCCCGAGAACCCGGAGAAAACCCACACACGCACGGGGAGAACAUGCCAACUCCACACAGAGACGCCCGAACGAAGAUAGGAACCCAAAUCUUUCAGAGCUCCUGACUGCUAACCACUAGGCCGCCAUGUGGCAGGAAAAAAUAUGAUUUAAAAAAAAAACACAUUUAAAUUUAAGAUAGCAGAAAACACAAAUGGAAGUAUUAGUUUUUUCCCCAAUAUUUUUUUCAUUUAUUAGAAAGGUAGAAAACACAGAAUAAUUUUUUAAAAAUGUGUCCAAAUUAAUUUUAGAAAAUGCUAAGGGAGAUUCGUUAUAUUUUAAACUAUUUUUUAAAAAUGUAUUUAAGGUGGAAGAAAAAACACAUUUUAUUUAUUUAUUUAUUUAUUUAUUAGAUUUUAAACAGGAAAAGAUUAAAAACACAAGCUGUUUUUAUAUAAACUUUUUAAUGGCAGAAAAUACUAAGGAGAGAGUUUUUGCAUUUACUUUCAAGAAUUACAUUUGUUAUUAGAGUAAAAAAAAAUCAAAUAUUUACUGUUUCAAUGUUAGCGAUAGCUGAUGUUCUUCUUCUUUAGUCGAAUCAACAGCACCUCUGCUGGUUGCAUCCAAGUACUGCGUCCCCAUUGCUCAAAGGCUCCAAUCAACUUCACAUGAUUGUUCAUCAACUCAUCAAUUUUUGUGCUAUAAGUAAAAAAAAAAAAAAAUCACAAUAAUAAACACAUAGUUCAUAUUGGUCAUUAUUACCUUUAUGAAAGCUAAUAUUUGAUACAGGGCUUGUAUUUCAAGUUUCUAAUGUGUUUAUCUGAUUUAAUUGGCUGUAUUAUGCAAAUAAUAGGGGAUGAUUUUCAUAAAGACACCCCAAGCACUUAGCCAAUAUGAGUUCUUUUAUUUGGUGCUAACUAAGCCUGUGUGGGCUUUGCAAGGAUUGACAUUUAAUUUAGUGUUUAAUCCAGCAUCAGCACGUAUGAAUCACUGCCUCCGUUGAGUAAUAACAGCCUCAACACUGCUCUCAUCCCGCAUGAGAUUGAGUGCCAAAAUAUUGUCUCAUACUGUAUGUUUACACCUCCAACGCUGACAUGAUAAUCAUUUAUUAUCCUCAUUAUGUACAAAAAACCCAACUAAUGAGCCAUUGCCCAUUUAAAGCCGCACUUAGUUAAUAAAUGUCAAAAAAACAUUAAUAUCCUCACUUACACUUGUCAGCUACGAGCUUUAAAUGUUAUUUUAUUUUAGUGUAUGCACAAAAACAGGUUUACUCUAAACCACUGGUGUCAAACUCAAGGCCCGGGGGCCAGAUUUGGACCGCCAUAUCGUUUUAUGUGGCCCGUGAAAGCCUGGAAAUAAUACACUGUCAAAAAUACACUUUUUUUAAACAUAAUUUUUAAAAUCUAUUUACUUUUGUAUUAUUAUUUAAUUAAUUUAAUUAUUUUAAACAAUAUUUUAAGGAAAAAAUAAUUUUAAAAAAUCCAAAAGACACUUAAUCGUGCUAAAUGUAUUUGUUCUGUCAGUUUUGACAGAACAUUUGUGCUGCAUGCAAUUCUUUUUUUGUUGCCAAAGCCCAUUUAAGAUGAAUGAUGCAAUACAGUAGCUGUUUCUGCUUGGCAACUUGACUUCUUAUUUCAAUGUAAAUGUGUUGGUCAAACAACAGAAAAUGAAAAUCAUAACAAUCACAUGCGUAAUAAGAUCCUGAGGUGAUUACACAUUUAUUUAUACAGUUUCACACUUCCAGGUGACCACAACUGCCCACGGUGAAAACCAGUUUGACGCCCCUGCGCUAAACAAACCUCAUUCGCAUGUUGUGUGUGCAAAAAAUGACAUCGCAUGGAAUGGGAGUCAAGUCCACAUAAUUAGACACACUUGCAGCAUUCAAUUAGAAAAUAUCUGGCACAGCCAGUGUGGCUUUGUACAACUGCAAACUACAGGCACAAUAGGAAAUAUAUUGUCAUUCAAUAUCAUCAUUGGCAGUUAUUAAAAUGAUUAGAAAGCCUGCAUUGUUGUAUUGGAUGGCAUUAGAUUGUAGCAGGGGUACCUAAUGAAGUGGCCACUGAAUGCAAAUCAUGUUUUUACAUCUUUGGGAGCAAAUUAAACACAGCACACUCACAUAUUGAUCAGUUUUUUUCAUUUUAGUAUUUCCUGCUUUGAUUCAAUAAUAAUCGCGGUUCAUUUAUGAGUGAAACAGUUUAAGGUGCAAUUUGGAAUUAUUUUUGAGAGGAUGUGUUGACAGUUACAGUAAAUAUAUAUUUUAUUAUUAAAAACAAUUCCAGCAGAAGAAAACUUGCACAUGAAUGUUUUGGUUAAGAAAGAGAAGUAAAACAAAAAAAGAAAAAAAAAAGAGAGACGUCUUACCAGCUCGUGGCUGAUGUGCAGCUCUCCUGGGCGACCGUGAACGCACCGCACAGCGUGCAGAUGUUGUCCAGUUGUUUGCCAGCUCGCCUCUGUCCUUGGUUCUGAAGUGUUUGCUCACACCGGCAAACUCCUCCGUGCUCUCCAACUUGCCAUCCGCCAAACCAGCCAGGUCCAGCCGAGCCGAGCCGAGCCGAGCCGUGCGCAAAGACGUCCGGCAGGCUCAGCACCAGAGAGACAAGAGGCGAGCUUGAAUCGUGAAUAAAGUGGCAGGUUUUUUUGUUAACUUAUCACCGCUCUCGUCUCUAGCCGAGUCGUGAGCGUGGAGUGCUGAAGCCUGCCCGGACGAGAGCCGAACCGUCUUCUAAAAGACAACCCGAACAGUCCACUUGCGAUCGAGUGAUCCAAUGCCCUGAGAGUACAAUAACCUGAUGAAUGAGAAUUGUCACAGACUUAACUUAUGAGGUUUUCUCUGCGGGAAGUGGGCAGAAUGAACUUCAGAAUAAGGGCAGCGGAGGAAUCUGGAGGUGGUGCUGCAACAAAGACGCGCCUCUGCUGCUCCUGUGUGCGCAUCGCGGCCACGCUGCGCGCUCCCGCCAGUCGGCAGCUUGAAAAAACAAAGCCAAAUGAAACACACACGACAUGUGGCUCUAUGAAAUUAAUAGCAACGCUACAGCUUGGCGGACAGAAGCCAUAAGAGCAAAACACACACAGAGAAAAUGAACUGACUAUGAAUACAUCUCCUAUUUGACUCCAAUGAGAUUUCAUAAGGCAACUUUUGGUCUGUCCUCAUUCACCUCCAUCUCAUCGAAGCUGAUGACAUACUCCAGCUGAGUGCUGCUGAAUGCACUCCAAAGAUGGAGAGGUUGUGUCUUUUUUUUUUUUUUACUCAUUAUAACACUAACAUGACAGUUCCAGCAUGCAAAAUGAAACAAAAAUAUGAAAAAGUGACAAAUCUGCUCCAUGAUUUAAAAGUACAUACUGCAACCAUUUCAAGGGAUAAAACCAUACAAAGUAAACACGGAUAUGCUUUAGAGUAGUCAGUGUACAGCUUGUAUGGCAGUCUCUCGUGUAUAGCGGUUCAUUGGUUCCAGACCCGACUGCAGUAAAUGAAUUUCCACAAUAUCGGAUUCACUGUUAAUACAGUCGUCCCUCGCAAUAUUGGGGUUCGAUUAUCGCUCAGUCUCGGCUUUUCAGAAAUGAAUGAAUGGAUGAAUAAGUGAUGGGCUGUUUGGUGCUAGACUAUGGUCUAUUAUUAGUCAAAACUAAUGGAAAUACCAGUGAUGACAGCAGUAAUGACACAAAACAUUGAUGAGACGUUACCUUACAUUACAUUACCUGAACACUGCAUGAGUCAGCCAUGGCAUGUCCCACAUGAUGGAGUGGAAAAAAGUUCUCCUCCCGUUCCAUGUGGAAGUGGUAAGUUUUUGGCUUCUUAAGUUUAGAAGAAAUGAAUUUGAGGCUAACUGGUUAGCUUGCUAGCUUGUCUGGAGUCCCUGCAGCAUAAGAGUUGCAAUGUGUUGUAAACAAUGAAUAAUAAGAGUGUAAAGGUGACUAUAGGGUUGUUAUUUAUGUCUCCAGGGCUCUAAUAAUGUUAAAGAGUGUAUUUAAAAAGUCAAACAGGUUUUCUAUGGUCUCACUACAAAAAUGUCAUAAAUAAAUAAAUAAAAUUCCAAUUCCAUUUAUUAACAUCGGAUCCUACAUCACGGAAAUUCAUUUAUCACGGUCGGGUCGGGAGCCAAUUAACCGCUAUAAAACGAGGAACAACUGUAAAUGGAAUAUUUUUGUUAAACCUGUUUAUGACUUUUUAAACACAGUUUUUAACAUUAUUAGAGCCCUGUAGACACGAAAUAACAGCCCCAUAGGCACCCUUACACUCCUAAUACUUGUAUUCAUUGUUUACCUAAGAAUAGACCAUAGUCUACCACAAAACAUGCACCAUUUAUUCAUGAAUUCAUUUCUGAAAAAACGCAAUAUAGUGAGAGAGCCAUCAUCGAACUGUGAUAUUGCAAAGGACGACUGUAUAGAUCACAGGUGUCAAACCCAAGGCCUGGGGGCCAGAUUCGGGGUGCCAUAUCAUUUUAUGUGGCCCGUGAAAGCCUGGAAAUAAUGCACAUCAAAAAGACACUUGUUUUAAUAUGAUUUUAAAAAUAUAUUUGUAUAUGUAUAGCGUAUAUUUUAAUUUUGUUAUUAAUAUUAAUGUUGGUUUGACUU